GUACGGGAGGCAGCAGUGGGGAAUAUUGGACAAUGGGCGAAAGCCUGAUCCAGCCAUGCCGCGUGAAGGACGAAGGCGCUCAGCGUUGUAAACUUCUUUUGGAUGGGAACAAUAACCACGACUUGUCGUGACUUGAGGGUACCAUCAGAAUAAGCACCGGCUAACUCCGUGCCAGCAGCCGCGGUAAUACGGAGGGUGCAAGCGUUAUCCGGAAUCACUGGGUUUAAAGGGUGCGUAGGCGGCCCAAUAAGUCAGUCGUGAAAUCGCUGGGCUCAACCCAUGCAAUUGCGAUUGAUACUGUUGGACUUGAAUUAGGUUGAGGCUGGCGGAAUGCGACAUGUAGCGGUGAAAUGCUUAGAUAUGUCGCAGAACACCGAUUGCGAAGGCAGCCAGCUGGGCCUUGAUUGACGCUGAGGCACGAAAGCGUGGGGAGCAAACAGGAUUAGAUACCCCGGUAGUCCC
RNAcentral lists this ribosomal RNA (462 nucleotides) under uncultured bacterium. Its description in RNAcentral is "bacterial SSU rRNA". It matches the Rfam family "Bacterial small subunit ribosomal RNA", at positions 339 to 797 of the family's 1533-position model. The record is from RNAcentral.